AUUGAACGCUGGCGGCAGGCCUAACACAUGCAAGUCGAGCGGAUGACGGGAGCUUGCUCCUUGAUUCAGCGGCGGACGGGUGAGUAAUGCCUAGGAAUCUGCCUGGUAGUGGGGGACAACGUUUCGAAAGGAACGCUAAUACCGCAUACGUCCUACGAGAGAAAGCAGGGGACCUUCGGGCCUUGCGCUAUCAGAUGAGCCUAGGUCGGAUUAGCUAGUUGGUGGGGUAAUGGCUCACCAAGGCGACGAUCCGUAACUGGUCUGAGAGGAUGAUCAGUCACACUGGAACUGAGACACGGUCCAGACUCCUACGGGAGGCAGCAGUGGGGAAUAUUGGACAAUGGGCGAAAGCCUGAUCCAGCCAUGCCGCGUGUGUGAAGAAGGUCUUCGGAUUGUAAAGCACUUUAAGUUGGGAGGAAGGGCAGUAAGUUAAUACCUUGCUGUUUUGACGUUACCGACAGAAUAAGCACCGGCUAACUCUGUGCCAGCCGCCGUAAUAC
This 500-nucleotide ribosomal RNA is filed under the name uncultured bacterium. RNAcentral's name for it is "partial 16S ribosomal RNA". It matches the Rfam family "Bacterial small subunit ribosomal RNA", at positions 30 to 526 of the family's 1533-position model. The record is from RNAcentral.